RNAcentral lists this ribosomal RNA (494 nucleotides) under uncultured bacterium. Its description in RNAcentral is "partial 16S ribosomal RNA". It matches the Rfam family "Bacterial small subunit ribosomal RNA", at positions 28 to 507 of the family's 1533-position model. The record is from RNAcentral.
GACGAACGCUGGCGGCGUGCCUAAUACAUGCAAGUCGAACGGUUUAGUUCCAAGAGGCUUGCCUUUUGGAACUAGACAGUGGCGGACGGGUGAGUAACACGUAGGCAACCUACCUGUCAAACCGGGAUAACCUCGGGAAACCGAAGCUAAACCCGGAUAAGCUCCUUUUUCGCAUGAAGGGGGAGUGAAAAGGUGCGACCUGAUGACAGAUGGGCCUGCGGCGCAUUAGCUAGUAGGUAGGGUAACGGCCUACCUAGGCGAUGAUGCGUAGCCGACCUGAGAGGGCGUACGGCCACACUGGGACUGAGAUACGGCCCAGACUCCUACGGGAGGCAGCAGUAGGGAAUCUUCGGCAAUGGGCGAAAGCCUGACCGAGCAACGCCGCGUGAGUGAGGAAGGCCUUCGGGUUGUAAAACUCUGUUGUUUGGGAAGAAGGGAAAGGGUAGGAUCCUUUGGUGACGGUACCAAACGAGAAAGCCCCGGCUAACUACGUG